Molecule: non-coding RNA, 45 nt
Filed under: Schistosoma margrebowiei
Lineage: Eukaryota; Metazoa; Platyhelminthes; Trematoda; Strigeidida; Schistosomatidae
Source: RNAcentral
AUUCAGCUGACGAGUCCCAAUUAGGACGAAACGUACGUUCUGGAU